GACGAACGCUGGCGGCGUGCUUAACACAUGCAAGUCGAACGCUGAAGCUCAGCUUGCUGGGUGGAUGAGUGGCGAACGGGUGAGUAACACGUGAGUAACCUGCCCUCUUCUUUGGGAUAACGCCCGGAAACGGGUGCUAAUACUGGAUAUUCACUGAUUCUCGCAUGGGGGUUGGUGGAAAGGUUUUUUCUGGUGGGGAUGGGCUCGCGGCCUAUCAGCUUGUUGGUGGGGUGAUGGCCUACCAAGGCUUUGACGGGUAGCCGGCCUGAGAGGGUGACCGGUCACAUUGGGACUGAGAUACGGCCCAGACUCCUACGGGAGGCAGCAGUGGGGAAUAUUGCACAAUGGGCGAAAGCCUGAUGCAGCGACGCCGCGUGAGGGAUGGAGGCCUUCGGGUUGUAAACCUCUUUCGCUCAUGGUCAAGCCGCAGCUUUGGGUUGUGGUGAGGGUAGUGGGUAAAGAAGCGCCGGCUAACUACGUG
RNAcentral lists this ribosomal RNA (481 nucleotides) under uncultured bacterium. RNAcentral describes it as "partial 16S ribosomal RNA". It matches the Rfam family "Bacterial small subunit ribosomal RNA", at positions 28 to 507 of the family's 1533-position model. The record is from RNAcentral.